Molecule: long non-coding RNA, 24410 nt
Filed under: Daucus carota (carrot)
Lineage: Eukaryota; Viridiplantae; Streptophyta; Magnoliopsida; Apiales; Apiaceae
Description: long non-coding RNA (DCAR_LNC003182)
Source: RNAcentral
UGACAGUUAACAGAGAAUUCAUUGAACUUCAAAAAUAAUUUAUAAUUAUAUGACUGCACUCAUUACAAAACCAAGCUGAACAGAACUCACAUGACUAAAUCCCUGAACAUAUCUAACUCCAAAGCCAGGCUUAUGUUUCCAUGUUCAGCUGUGGUUGCAUGUUACAACUUGUGUUUUUGACAAAUCACUAAACUGUAACUAAACUACUAUACAUGAUCAGCUAUUCUAGGGCAUAUCAAGCUUCGUCUAGCAUCUUCGUUUCCUCUACAGCGCCAUCAUGAAUCUCUUCCUCUUCCACAUCUUCCGCACAGCGCCAUCAUGAAUCUCUUCCUCUUCCACAUCUUCCGCAUCAUGUGGGCCUUUAAUCUGCUUCUAAUCUUAUAUAAACAAACACAAACACAAUUACAUUUUGCAUCCGGGAAAAACAUUCUUAAGUUUGCGGCAGGUUAGUAGAGGGAAGCUUUUGAAUAUCCCAACCAAGAACCUUGCAGAUGACUUCCCCCAGUGCUCUAUGAGCCCGCCUCUUCUUUGUCUUGGCAAUGGUGGUCGAAUGUUGUACAAGAGCCACACAAUCCUUGUACUUCUUCCCCACCUUCUGCCCGAGCCCAGCACACACCAAACAACUAAAUUCACCGCGCUCACAAUUCUUCUCGUAGUAGGACCUCAGUUCACUAUCCUCCGCAAAAACUUCCGAGAAGAAUUUGUACUCUUUGCACUCAUCCUUCUCAUCAUCCAUGCCACCACCACCCUCAUAAUCAUCAUCAUCAUCUGACGAUGAAUCUUCAAUCUCCCCAUCACUAUCCAUCAUCUCCCUAAACAUAUCCGUCGCAGCAUCCAACGCCUUUUGCUGCGCUUUACCAGCAACCAACAGCGCAUUCUCCUCUUCCGUAAGUACCCUCUCAGCAGCAGGCUUCAAAUUCAACUCCGGCCAUCCGACAGUAGGUUCAGGCACUGGAUUACAAGGCCACUCAUUUUCAGAAAUUGCAGGCCACUUUUUAACUUCCUCAUAGCCACCGCCACCGCCCUUCUUCCCCUUCUUUUUCAUAUUUUUCGGUUUCGUCCCCUGAACCCCAAGUGAGAGCCUACUCAGCUUAUUAUUCAAAUUACCAUGUGUCACACUCUCCACAUUACUUUGUAAAUAUGGUUGCACAUUCGACACACGCGGACCGGGAUAACUAUAACCAUUUGAAUCAUAACCCGUCAUAGCACCCACAAUGGAACCAUGACCGUGAUUGAAAAUGUGAGCAUUAUGGACAUAGGCAUUAGGCCUAUGAUCAUGGUUCAAAAUUGGCAUCGAUGGGUCAGAAUUCGUGUAAAAUGAACCGGGUCCGGGGUUGAAACCGGGUCUAUUAUUGAAAUUGCCAGGGUUUGCAAUCGGGUGAAUUGGGUAAACUGAACUGGGGUUAGAAUUGAAAAUGGGGGGCUGGGGGACCCAAUUAGGGUUUAAAACAUGAUGAACUGGGUGAAUUGAAUGGGGAUUAGGAUUGAAAAUUGGACGAUUGGGGAUGAAACUAGGGUUUAUAAUUGGGGGAUUCGGGUUUUGAGUAGGGUGUUGAAGAGGAGGGCCUUGACGAUGGAGAGAAUGGAGAUGCCUCACCUCAUUUAUAAGCUCUUCUUCUGUUAAAUGAGGCAUGGCAAAAUUGAGAAAAUUGAGAAGAUGAAGAUUAGUUGUUUUCUUCAGGUGAGCUCAAUUUCUUUGUUCAUGUUUCUGAAAUGAUGCGACAUGCGUGCUUGUUUAUAUAGGCAGAGAGGAAGAUGAAUCGGGACAGGUUUUAGAAAUUUACCAUUAAUAUGAUAUCUUGAGAUUUGCCAUUAAUGUGAUAUUUUCGAGAUUUUUAGUUGAUGAAUAUUAUAUUCGAUUUAGAUUAUAUGUAUAAUCUCAGAGAUAUUACUCUCUCCGUCCCUUUUUAUCUGUCUUAUUUUGAAGAAAAAAAAACAUACCAAGAAAUAAUUGAUUGUAUAAACUUUUUCAUUAAAUAUCUCUAAUUAAUAUCUUGAAAAUGGUGGAAUACUCCUACUUUAUGUCUUGAAAACAUGAAUUUAACCAAAUUUUAAAUAAGUCAAGCCUUGAAAAUUGAAAUUAUGAAGAUAUAUUUGAAAAACUAUCAUUAAAUUAGUUUUGAAAGUAUAAAUGGACAGAUAAAUAGGGACAAAUUUUUACUUCCAAAAAUAGGGACGGAGGGAGUAGAUCACAUGGUCAAAAUAUGUAAUUCACAAAUUUAUUUUUGUAAUUAAUUUAGAAAAUAUAAAUAUAAUAAAGUUAAAGUUUUGAUGUACGACAUCAAAAUUUUAGGAAAUAUACCAUUGAAAUUCUAAAUUUAUAUUAUUUAUAAAAUUAUUGACAUUUGGAGAGCAUUUAGAAUUUUAGAAAUAUAUAAAAAAGUUACAUAGCCAUUUAGUAUUUAAACUAUUAUUAAUGAUAUUAUAAUAUAUAGUUAAGAUGUUAUAUUAUCCAUCUCCUAAACAAAUGAUAUCAUAUUUUCAUUGAAAAUAUUCUAUGAAUUUAGGAUGUAUAUAUUCUUAGAUUCUUAAAAAAAAUAUAAUUUUUACAUAUUCAGUUAAUAUCAUAAAUUACUUUUUUUUAAAGAGAAUGAGAUAAUUUCAUAAAUAAUAGUUAUAGGGCAUUAUAAGAACCAUCGAGUCAAACAAACAUAAAAUAUUACCAUACCAGUCUUCAUACUCAAGAUGAGACAAAUAAGACUUUUAAAAAUAAUUUUAUGAUAUUAAUCGAAUAGAUAUUCAGUUAAUAUCAUAGAUUACUUUUAAAAAUCUUUUUUUUUGCCAACAUAAACUUUUAAAAGUCUUUUAGUGCUGUCAUGAUUUUGAAUUAUUAUUAACAAUCCGAUGUGGAGUUAAAGAAAAAAAAACACAAACGUACAUGUAUAUUUUCAUUUCUAUACUAGAUGUAUAUUGAGAAUUUGUAAUAAUAUUAAUUCAAAAUUUAAAUUUAUUAUAAAUAAGUUAAUAUCUACAAUUAUAAAUCAUAAUCUUGUGUUUUGUAAUUGUAAUUGUUCAAAUUUAGCCUACGUUAAGUCACUAAAUUUUGAAACGUCUUUUUCGUAUUUCAUAAUAUAAUGAACAAAUUUAAAAAUAUUUAUUUAUGUAUAUUAUAUUUUCAGAAUUCUUUUCAAAUCAAAAGAGAUAAUUUAACGUUUUGUACUCUUUUGUCUAGUGAACAUGAUGUGUGACUGUAUGACGUGUUACAUGGACCGCACAAUUGUUUUAAUUGGGCCUCCUCUAAAUUGAAACGACUAAAUCUAUGGGUCCAAGAUAAGGCCCUAUCAUCUUCGGUUGUUAAACUAAAAGGAAACUCGGUCCACUUGGACCAAUUUAAACCAGGAUGGACUGGGCUAUAGUUUAAAUUGUUUUUUCAAUUUUCAAGUGAAAUAUAAAAUUAAUAAAAUUAUUUAUGAAAAUAAAAGUUUAAAAAUAAUGAUUAUAAUGAUACAGUUAAAAUGUUUAAAAUUUUGUAUCAAAACAUCAAACAACUUGUAUUUCAAAAUAACAGAGAGAGUAUUUUACUAAAUUUAUCAAUUUGAUAGAUAAAAGAUUAAAAUAUAUCAUAUGUCACAAUUUGCAUGAAAAGAGAAUAAAUUAUUUAAAUGAAACUCAUCAAAAUACUAAAUUAAAUAAAUAAAUUUAUAUGUCAUACAUUAUUAGAUUAAAACUUAUAUAUCUAUAACUUUUUAUUUCAAAAAGAAUGAUAUAUGAAAUUAUUUUAAAAUUUAUAUUAACCUAAUGUAAAAUAUACUCACUCACUCACUCCUCACUUGUUUAUUAUAUUGGGGUUCAUAAAAUAUAGUUUAAUUAAUUAUUUUAACUUAUUUUUUUUGUUCUGUAUAAAAAUUUAAUGUUUAAAUUUUUAUUAAAUAACAAGGCGAAAGCAUACAACUAUACAAAUGGCUUUCAUUUUGCAUGCAAGCAAAUUAGUUCCCAAAUCAUAAGUGACAAGUCUCUACAGAGAACUUCAAGAUCGGACAGUUCUUGUACAAGUAGAAAUCAGGAACACCUGGGAGAAUUAUAUGUUUGCUGAAUGCCGAAAUUCGAAUGGAACUGCAGCUCCCAGAUCUGAAGAAUUAAAAUUUAUUGUUAAAGUAUAAGAUCCAUAAAGGGCCUCCUCUAACAAAUGGUUCUCUACAUGGUAUGAGAGCUCUGGUUUGGUAGGAGGUCUCGGGUUCGAGCCCCUGCCACCCCUAAUAUUCUCACAAUUUAAGAUGGACACGAAUGAGGGAGGGAAUGGUUCUCAAUAGGGCUGCACAUGGGCUGGGUUGGGUCGGUUUCGGCCAUUCAAGCGACCCAACCCAUUUAGUGCGGGUUAGAAAAAUUUAACCCAUUAAUCAUAAAAAGAAUUAGAAACCCAACCCUACUAAUUGUAUGACGGGUUGGGUUGGUUAGGGUAGGGUUGAUCGGGUUGAAAAAUUUGCAAGAUAAGCAUAAUCCAAAAUAUGUUUUGCACCAUUUUGUUGUAUACAAUUAGCAAUAACAUAAGACACUGCACCAAUACAAAAUAUCAGGUGCUUUUAGAGUGCAGAUAUUCUCUUCCUACUAAGAUGGACAGCUGAAUCUUAAUACACUGAUAACUAUUAAAAAUCAUGUUUCCGCCAUGAUAUAUAAUCAUAAGAACUAGCGAUGUGAGUCGUUUGAUUUGAACUAUAAAGCUUUAUUUCUAAUUGUUUCUGCACACUGCACUACACUCACCGCACAUUCUAUCAUCAAAUAAGUAAAUAUAAUUCCGUAAGCAACCAAAAAUAUUCUACUUCCUCCGUCUCUUAUUACUUUUCCUGUCUCUCUCUAGCACGUUUGUCAAUACACACUUUUGAUCCUUAAUAUCAUUAAUUUUGUAUUAGUAUUAAAUAUAAAAACUUCAUUGUAUUAAAGUACUCGUGAAUACGAAUCCAACAAGAUCACUCACGACUAUAUUUAGUCUUAUAGAUUAGACGUAAAUUAGUAAUUAGUCUCAUGUUAUGAACAGUCCCGACAUAUCAAACGAGAAAAGAAUAAAGAAACGGAGGGAGUAUCAGAGUGUUAAAGAUAUAUUUUGAUCGGGUUGGGUUGGUUUAGGGUUUUUAAAAGUCAUAUUUCGACCCAACCCAUUAUAAACGGCUCAACCAAAAAUCAAUCCAAUUAACCCACGGUUUGGAAUGGGUCGGGUUAGUCGGCCUAGUUCAAGGUUGGGUUGGGUUGGUUUGAACGGGUUGGACAACCCAUGAGCAGCCCUAGUUCUCAACAUGCCCCAUUAUGAUCUUAUACUUUAACAUUUAUCAACAAAAUUGUCAGAAUCUGCUGUUUUUGGACAUCGUUUUUGCUGAAUUUAGUGGGUUAAUUGCAUGUGAGCGAUAUUGCAACUUAUGUUGCAUCGGUGGAUAACUUUCACUCUUUCAGCCAGUUACAACAUCAGACUGAAGCCAGCGAGGAGGGCAAGGCCAAGAUGAACCCGUUCUCCCUGCUAUUUAGAAUAGUAUAAGGGGAUGAUACUAUAAAGAUGUAUUUCAGGUAACAGGGCCGUCUGUGAGAAUUUUGGGGCCCUGUGCUAAAAUAUUAAUUAUGCCCCAAAUAAUAAAAAAAAUAUGUAUAUUAUAAAAGUAAAUAAAUAAUCAAAAUAUUAUUUUUUUAUAAAAUUAAAACAAGUCACUUAAAAUAAGAUAAAUAAUGUUAUUAAAUAAUCAGUAAUUCUAAGUAUUUUAAACAAAAUUUAUAUAUGAAUUUAUUUGAGAUAUAUCUAUAUUUCAUUGAUUUAUAGUACAUAUGAAAAAAUAUCAUAUGUAAAAAAUAUUAUGAAAACAUUUAAUAAAAGAGUAAUUAUUAUAAAAAAAGUAAAGAUACAACACAAAAGAAUUUAAAAUGCAAAUAGACAUAAUAAACUAAUCUAUCAGAUUAUGUAAUUAUUUAUCUAUAAAUAAAUAGAAUGAAAAUAAAUAUAAAAUUUUUAAUUUUCAAUUUCAUUCUCUAAAUUUUUUUAUUAAAUAAAACAUUAAUUUCUAAAUUUUGAGGCCCCUAUAGCUUUGGGGCCCUGUGCCGUCGCCCACCUUGCACGUCUCAAAAACCGGCACUGUCAGGUAACCAUUGUCGCUGUUUCAUGCAUUUGCUAUUUGCCUAACCAAUUUCCUUGUAACUGUUGAUUGCUAAUACAAACUUGUGUGGUCACAGCUUAGUUUUAUCCUUCAGAGGAACUCAACACUUUUUUGCUUGUCUUCUUUUGCUCUAAUGUAUACAUUAUAUUGUGACAACUGCUUUGUGUGAAUGCAGAUUGUGACAUGAGUACGAAAUUAGUGCCUGCUGAUCUUAAAUAAAUUUCUGCCUAGUUUUUGCUUAGAAUGGAAACGUCGGCUAUGACAAACAACGUAUGAAAUUAAAAUGGGAUAUCGGGACUCUUUUGAACUUUUAAACUGUACUGGAUUACUAGAAAAGCUCCAUCAGGCGAACACAGAAAUUCUGCAGAAAACUACCACUCCAGUAAGACUGGUACCAGAGCCUUUCUCUUGUAAAGCUGAUCCAAACAUAAAGGUUUGAGACUCGGGCUGAAAAUUCAUUUAGACUUGCAAAUUUCAGAGAGGAGCUCAAAUUCUUCAUUCAAGAUGAUCCAUUUUACCAACCUAACCGCCAAUUUAAAUCACCCUUAUUUUCCUUUUCUAGCCUUGUCAUUUUUAUUUAAAAUUAGAAGGGAAAUUUUUUAUUUAUUAAAUAUGUUCUAUCCAAUACACACCUUAUUCUUCUAGCUUUGAUAUGAUGAUAUCGCAUUUAAAGAAUAAAAAUUACUGCAUAUAACAGGUGCAACAUAGUAUCAAAGUGACUUUUGCACAAACCAGACCACAAAUUAACUGUCCAGGUUAUAGGCAAAUAAGCGUUCAGCCGUGGUUGCAAGUUACACUGAGCAUCUUCGAGCAGAUAUCAAGCUUCGUGAUUUGAUAUUCUAGUGCACAUCAAAGCUUUGUCUAGCAUCUUCAUUACCAAAUCUCUUCAUUCUUUCUAUCUGUAAGAUUCCUACACCAGCCAUAAUCCAAAAUUUAAUACUAAGAUAUCAUACUUAUUGUAAUUAAAAGAUCUACUCCCUCCGUCCCGGCCAAUUCUUUACGUUUGGUUUGGGCACGGAGGUUAAGAAAUAUGUAUAAAGUAGUAGGAAAGAGAAAGAAAAGUGAGUGAAGUGCCGGGACCCAUUAAUUUUUAAUGUAUAAAAGAGAGUUAGUGGAAUAAAAGUAGUGUGAAAAGGAAGUAAAAGUAGUGUGAAAAGGGAGGAAAAGUUGGGAAGUGGUAGGACCCAUUUACUAUUUUUGGUAAGUUUUGAAAUGUAAAGAAUUGGAUGGGACAUCCCAAAGAGGAAACUGUAAAGAAUCUGCUGGGACGGAGGGAGUACUACCUAUGUAAUUAAAAUGGGAAAAAACAACAUUAGAAGUCCCCAUAUGUUACAAGCAAAAGGUCAAAAGCUCCUGGCAGUGACAAACAAAUAUAAAGAACAAAAUACAUACGUGUGCAUCAUCAAGAUUCUAUGUGUUCUCAAUGUAAUGCAUCUACAGAUUAGUGUACAUAAUUAAAUCCUUAAAACACAAGCCACGGGGAACUGAAUGGAGAGAAACAUGUUCUUACUUUAAGGAAUCAAAGGUGAUAAAUUACCAGUCCCGCAUUUGACAUUCUUGAAUUACAAAAACUGCAUAUAAAUUACCUCAACAAACCAUUGAUUCAGGACCAACAUUAUUUGUAAAGCUCACAGCAGUCGCAGCUAAAACUUCACUAGCACUGUCGGUCGCAAUUUGGGCCAUCAACCUGCAUGCCUGUUUGUUUCAUAGAAGCAGAAUCUGCUUCCGGCUUCUGCUUCUUUUGACCCGUUUGUGUAAAUAAGCGGAAGCACUUUUAAGAAGCUGAGAAUGCUAGCUUCUCUCUCACAGCUUCUACUUCUUUUCCAAACACUUUAUUAACUUAUUUACUUCUCACUUCUACUUCACUUCUUUAGUUUAAGCAAGAAAUCAUUUCUUUUAAGCUAACCUAAACGGGUGCGCAUUACCAAUCAUAUAUCAAACAAUUUCUUAAUUACCUUUAUAUUACAGAUUUACGGCAGGUUAAUAAUAGAUGACAGCUUUUGAAUAUCCCAACCAAGCACCUUGCAAAUGACUUCUCUCACUGCUUUGUGAGCCUGCCUCUUCUUUGUCUUGGCUAUGAUGGUCGCAUGCUGUACAAGAGCCACACAAUCCUUGUACUUCUUCCCCGCCUUCUGCCCGAGCCCAGCACACACAAAACAACUAAUCACACCGCUCUCACAAUUCUUCUUGUAAUAAGACCUCAGUUCACUAUCUUCCGCAAAAACUUUCGAGGAGAACUUGUACGAGUUAUUGAGUUUCUGCGAGUAAACUCAAGCUUAAUUAUUUUUGUUAUGCUAUUUUCACAAAUUUUUUUUGUAUUAUAUUCGAGUUUAAAUUUGAAGACAUGUCUUAAUAUUUUAAAAUCAUCGAUCUACAUAUUAAUCCAUUUAAAUCCCCGCAGUUUACUAUAUUUCUCCUUUUUAUUUUUUUGUCAAUUUUAUUUUAAGACUUUGUUAGUAGGACUUAAAUAAUAACUCUUUUGUACAACUAAUAGUAAAUUUAUUAAAUUUUAAAUAUAAUCAUAACAUUACAAAACCAAGCUGAACGGAAAUGACUAAAUCCUGAACAUAUCUAAGUACAAAACCAAGCUUAUGUUUCCAUGUUCAGUUGUGAUUGCAUGUUACAACUUGUGUUUUUGACAAAUCAGUAAACUGUACCUAAACUAUUAUACAUGAUCAGCUAUUCUAGGGCGUAUCAAGCUUCGUAUAGCAUCUUGGUUUCUUCCUCUUCCACAACUUCCGCAUCACGUGGGCCUUUAACCUGCUUCUAAUGAUUAAAAUUUUAUUCAAAUGUUCAUAACUCAGAAUCUGAAAACAUUCGAUCCAAAUCUCAAAUCAAACAGGACCCUAUCAAAAAUUCAAUCCUCCCCCAUGCUCUUGCGGAGCUUCCUGAGCAGCUAAAUGUUCUCUUAAAGCUACUUUCGCAUUCUCAAGAGCACAAACCAAACCAUAUAAGCAACGCUCACCAUCAUCUUCGGGAGAUUUGGGGAUCAAAUACUCCACAACUUGAGCAGGGGUCACGGCAACUUCUCCCAGCAGCUGUUCGAUCCUCACAAACAGUUCAUUAAAUCUGAUAUUCAGAUACUUAUUAGCGAGCACCUUGAAUACCUCGAACGAACAAUACGACAUCAGGAUGUGCUUGUCCAUUCGCCCUGUUCGAAUCAACGCCCGAUCAAGCAUCUUCCCCACCUUCUGCCCGAGCCCAGCACACACCAAACAACUGAAUUCACCGCUCUCACAAUUCUUCUCAUAAUAAUUUGUAAUCUUUACACUAUCCUCAGCAAAAACUUUCGAGAAGAAUUUGUACUCUCUGCACUCAUUCUUAUAAUUAGGGUUUAAAACAUGAUGAACUUGGUAAAUUGAACGGGGAUUAGGAUUGAAAAUUGGGCGAUGGGGGAUGAAACUAGGGUUUAUAAUUGGGGGAUUCGGGUUUUGAAUAGGGUUCGGAAGAGGAGGGCCUUUUAAACGAGGCAUCAAAAAUUGAGAAGAUAGAAGAUAAUUUUUUUCUUAGGUAAGCUCAAGCUUUUGUGUUUGAUGUUUUCUCAAACUAUGCAUGCUUGUUUAUAUAGAUAGCGAGAGAGAUGAACCUGGACAGUUUUUAAAAAUUUACAAUUAAUAUGAUAUCUUCAGAUAUUAUCAGAUUUUAUUCGAUUUAGAUUAUAUGUAAUAUCUUCCAGAUAUUGUAGAUCAUAAUUUAUUAUCGAAGAUAUCAUCAGAUCAUAUUCCAGAUAUUAUCAGAUUAUAUGAUCAAAAUAUGUAAUUCAUAAAUUUAUUUUUAAUUUAGAAAAUAUAAAUAAAAUAAGUUAAAAUUUUUGAAGUACGACGUCAAAAUUUAUAAAAUUAUUGACAUUUAGAGAGAGAGCAUUUAAAAUUUUAAGAAAUAUAAAAAGAUGACAUAUCCAUUUAGUAUUUUAAAUUAAUUUCGAUAAGAUUUUGAUAUUUAGCUAAAAUAUCGAAUUAUCUUUAAAAAAUAUGAUAUAAAUACUUUUUUUGAAAAUAUUGUACAGAUUUUGGAAUAUAUAUAUUUAAUUUAAAUUCUUAAAAAUAUGUGAUUUUGAGAUCUCAAAAAUUAUUUUUAAAAGUCUAUUAUCACUCACCAUCAUUUUAAAUUUUUAUUAAAAAUCCGAUAUCGAGUUAAAGAAACACACAUUAUAUAUAUNNNNNNAUAUAUAUAUAUAUAUAUUCAUCUUCUUAAAUUAGAAAUAUAUUUUAGAAUUUAUUAUAAAUCAUCUUUAAAAAUUUUGUGGUAUGUAAUUGUAAUUAUUUAAAUUUGACUCGUGUUAAAUCACUUAAUUUUGAACAGUCUUUUUUUUGUAUUUCUAAACAAAUUUAAAAAUAUUUAUUUAUGUAUAUUAUAUUUUCAGAAUUCUCUUCAAAUCAAAAGAGAUAAUAUAAAUUUUGUACCUUUGUCUACCGAACAUGAUGUGACGAUGUGUGACCUAUUAGAUGUGUAUGGCGUGUUACAUGGACCGCACAAAUUUUAAUUUGGGCCUGCUCUAAAAUUGAAAAGGACUACUUUUUUCCUGAAAAAUACGUGAUCAUAAUUGUGCACAAAAUUUUGUACGUAUAUAAUGACACAUAUGGUGAGUUUUAAUUGGAAUGAUUGUCAUGUCCAAAUUUUCUGUACAAGCACCUAAACUUAACUAGUUUUGAUGAUUAGGAGAUUCAUUAAAAACCAUAGAUAUUCCAAUACAAGCAACGGCACCUAUCCACCUAGUACCCUGCAUAACCUAAACUUAACUAGCUGGAAUAAAACUGAUACUAAGAAAGAAGAUAGUUGUUAUGGAACCAUGCAGUCAGCGAGCAUGCUAGCAGCUUCAAACUUUUCCCACUCUGCUUGAACGUCAGCCACGUCCAUCAAAUCCUCUUCAAACUCUAGAGGCUCAUCUUUAGAGCCUUAGCGAGACCCAGCGGACUCCGAAUUCUUCUCGUGAUUUGACCUGAUCACAAUAAGCGCCUCUAGGUUAUCAGUUUCAAAAUGAAUCUUCUUGCGGUACUCCCCUCUUGGAGCACUCUACUGUUGCCAUUUGAAUGCCCCAUAAUACAGCCUGGGUAUGAGUCAUUCCAUGAAACGGACUAAAUCUUCAAUUGUUAAACUACAAAGAAACUCGGUCCACUUGGACAACUUCAAAUCAGGAUGGGACUGGAUUAUGGUUAAAAUUAUUAUUUUUAAUUUGUUAACAAAAAUAUAAAUUAAAAUUAUUAACAAUCUGAUAUGGAGUUAGAGAAAAAAAAACCACAAACGUAGUACAUGUAUAUUUUUAUUUCGAAACUAGAUAUAUAUUGAGAAUUUGUAAUAAAUAAGUAAAUAUCUACAAUUAUAAAUCAUAAUCUUGUGUUUUGUGAUUGAAAUUAUUCAAAUUUAGCCUACGUUAAAGUCCCUAAAUUUUGAAACGUCUUUUUCAUAUUUCAUAAUAUAAUGAACAAUUUAAAAAUAUUUGUUUAUGUAUAAUAUAUUUUCAGAAUUCUCUUCAAUCAGAAAAGAUAAUUUAACUUUUUGUACUCUUUUGUCUGGUGAACAUGAUGUGUGACCCUAUGACGUGUUACACCACAAUUGUUUCAAUCUGGGCCUCCUCUAAUCUAUCGGUCCAAGAUAAGGUCCUAUCAAACAAAUCUAUGCCUUCUUCGUUUGUUAAACUAAAAGGAAACUCGGUCCACUAGAACCAGGAUGGACUGGGCUAUAGUUUGUUUUUUUUGAAAGAGACCGGGCUAUAGUUAAAAUUAUUAUUUUUAAGUAAAAUAUAAAAUUAAUAAAAUUAUUUAUGAAAAUAAAAUUUAUAAAAAUAAUAAUUAUAAUGAUAUAGUCAAAAUGUUUAAAAUUAUGUAUCAAAACGUCGAAUAACUUAUAUUUCAAAUUAACGGAGAGAGUAUUUUACUACUUAAUUUACCAAUUUGAUAGAUAAAAGAUUAAAAUAUAUCAUGUCACAAUUUGCAUGAAAAGUGAAUAAAUUAUUUAAAUGAAACUCAUCAAAACACUAGAUUAAAUAAAUAAAUUUAUAUGUCAUACAUUAUUAGAUUAAAACUUAUAUAUCUAUAACUUUUUAUUUCAGAAAGAAUGAUAUAUAAAAUUAUUUUAAAAUUUAUAUUAACCUAAUGUAAAAUAUACUCACUCACUCCUCCUCAAUUGUUUAUACUGGGGGUCAUAAAAUAUAAUUUAAUUAAUUGUUUUAAAUUUUUUUUUAUGUAUAAAAAUUUAAUUUUUAAAUUUGUUAUAUAUAACAAGCCUCAUCUGCGAAAGCGUACAACUAUACAAGUGGCUUUCAUUAUGCAUGCAAGCAAAUAAGUUCCCAAAUCAUAAGACAAGUCUCUACAGAGAACUUCAAGAUCGGACAGUUCUUGUACAAGUAGAAAUCAGGAACACCUGGGAGAAUUAUAUGUUUGCUGAAUGCCGAAAUUCGAAUGGAACUGCAGCUCCCAGACCUGAAGAAUUAAAAUUUAUUAACAAAAAUGUCAGAAUAUGCUGUUUUUGGACAUUGUUUUUGCUGAAUUUAGUGGGUUAAUUGCAUGUGAGCGAUAUUGCAGCUUAUGUUGCAUAGGUGGAUAAGUUUCAGCUAGUUACAACAUCAGAUUGAAGCCAUCCAGGAGGGCAAGGCCAAGAGGAACUAUUGUAGGUGUUUCAAGCAUUUGUUAUUUGUCUAACCAAUUUCCUUGCAACUGUUGAUUGCUAAUACAAAUUUGUGUGGACACAGGUUAGUUUUAUCCUUCAGAAGAACUCAACUCUUUUACCUGUCUUCUUUUGCUCUAAUGUAUACAUUAUAUUGUGACAACUGUUUUGUGUGAAUGCAGAUUGUGACAUGAGUACGAAACUAGUGCCUGCUGAUCUUAAAUGGAUUUCUGCCUAGUUUUUUCUUAGAAUGGAAACUUCGGCUAUGUCAAACAACGUAUAAAAUUAAAAUGGGAUAUCUGGACUCUUUUGAACUUUUAAACUGUACUGGAUUACUAGAGAAAAGCUCCAUCAGGUGAACACAGAAAUUCUGCAGAAAACUACCACUCCAGUAGGACUAGUACCAGAGCCUUUUUCUUGUAAAGCUGAUCCAAACAACAUAAAGGUUUGAGACUCGGGCUGAAAAUUCAUUUAGACUUGCAAAUUUCAGGGAGCUCAAAUUCUUCAUUCAAGAUGAUCCAUUUUACCAACCUAGCUAACCGCCAAUUUAAAUCACCCUUAUAUUCCUUUUCUAGCUUUGUCAUUUUUAUUUAAAAUUUGGAAGGAAAAAAUGAUUCAAUAUUAAAUAUGUUCUAUCCAAUACACACCUUAUUCUGCUAGCUUUGAUAUCGCAUUUAAAGAAUAAAAAUUACUGCAUAUAACAGGUGCAACAUAGUACUAAACUGACUUGUGGACAAACCAAACCACAAAUUAACUGUCCUGCAGGUUAUAGGCAAAUAACCGUUCAGCCGUGGUUGUAAGUUACGACUUGCGUUUCAGAUAGAUCAGUACACUGAACAUCUUCCAGCGGAUAUCAAGCUUCGUGAUUUGAUAUUCUGGUGCACAUCAAAGCUUUAUCUAGCAUCUUCAUUACCAAAUCUCUUCAUUCUUUCUAUCUGCAGCCAUAACCCAAAACUUAAUACUAAGAUAUCAUACUUAUUGUAAUCAAAAUAUCUACUACCUAUGUAAUUUAAAUGGGAAAAAACAACAUUAGAAGUCCCCAUAUGUUACAAGCAAAAGGUCAAAAGCUCCUGGCAAUGACAAACAAAUAUAAAGAACAAUAUACAUACGUGUGGAUCAUCAAGAUUCUAUGUGUUCUCAAUGUAAUGCAUCUACAGAUUAGUGUACAUAAUUAAAAUCUUAAAACACAAGCCACAGGGGACUGAAUGGGAGAGAAACAAGUUCUUACUUUAUAAGGAAUCAAAGGUGAUAAAUUACCAGUCCCGCAUUUGACAUUCUUGAUGAAUUACAAAAACUGCAUAUAAUUACCAUUUGUAAAGCUCACAGCAGUCGCAGCUGAAACUUCACUAGCACUGUCGGUCGCAAUUUGGGCCAUCAACCUGCAUUUCCAAUCCUAUAUCAAACAAUUUUUUAAUUACCUUUAUAUCACAGGUUUACGGCAGGUUAAUAGAUGGCAACUUUUGAAUAUCCCAACUUUCUUAGUUACCUUGCAAAUGACUUCUCCCACUGCUUUACGAGCAUGCCUCUUCUUUGUCUUGGUUAUGGUGGUCGCAUGCUGUACAAGAGCCACACAAUCCUUGUACUUCUUCCCCGCCUUCUGCCCCAGCCCAGCACACACGCAAAACAACUGAAUUCACCGCUCUCACAAUUCUUCUCGUAUUAAGACCUCAGCUCACUAUCCUCCGCAAAAACUUUCUAGGAGAACUUGUACGAGUUAUUGAGUUUGUGUAGAGUGAUUUGGACUAAAAAAAUCAUAGAAAACUGAUCCGAUUUGAUCAUUAGGUCGGAUGUCGUCAGUCUAUGGACUCCCCAGAUCAUGUUCUUUGUUUUCCCAUCGGGUUAACAAAAUGUUAAAUAUAACAAAAUGAGGUACAAUUCAAUACAAAUUAGAUAAUGUUGGUGACUAAAAAAAUAACGGUUAAAUUUAGUGGUAAUUUUGAAAACAAAAUAGUGGAGUGAUGAAAAAUUGAUUUUCCCUAAAAAUAUAUAAACUUUUUUUUAAAAAUUAAGCCUUGAUUUAUGGACUUUUUGGGCCCAGUUGUUUCUGCGAGUAAACUCAAGCUUAUUCUUGUUCUGUCGUGAAACUAUUAACUAUGCAUGCUUGUUUGUGUAGGCAGUCGCUGGAUGAAUCACAACACUUUUGUGGAAAAUUUACUAACAUAUCCGAUAUUUUCACAGAAUUUUUUUUGUAUUAUAUUCGAGUUUAGAUUUGUAGACUAUGUCUUAAUAUUUUAAAAUCAUCAAUCUACAUAUUAAUCCAUUAAAUCCCCGCAGUUUACACUAUAUUUCUCCCUUUUAUUUUUUUGUCAAUUUUAUUUUAAAACUUUGUUAAUAGAACUUAAAUAAUAUCUCCUUUGUACAACUAAUAGUAAAUUCGUUAAAUUUUAAAUAUAAUUAUAACAUUACAAAACCAAGCUGAACCAAAAUGACUAAUUCCCUGAACAUAUCUAACUACAAAACCAAGCUUAUGUUUCCAUAUUCAGCUGUGAUUGCAUGUUACAACUUGUGUUUUUGACAAAUCAGUAAACUGUAGUAACUAAACUAUUAUACAUGAUCAGCUAUUCUAGGGCGUAUCAAGCUUCGUCUAGCAUCUUGGUUUCUUCCUCUUCCACAACUUCCGCAUCACGUGGGCCUUUAACCUGCUUCUAAUCUUAUGCAAAAUGAUUAAAAUUUUAUUCAAACUCCAACAACUCCAGAAUCAUAUAAGCAAUGCUCACCAUCAUCCUCCGCAGAUUUGGGGAUCAAAUACUCCACAACUUGAGCAGGCGUCACGGCAACUUCUCCCAGCAGCUGUUCGAUCCUCACAAACAGUUCAUGAAAUCUGAUAUUCAGAUACUUAUUAGCAAGCACCUUGAAUACCUCGAACGAACAAUACGACAUCAAGAUGUGCUUGUCCAUUCGCCUUGUUCGGAUCAACGCGGGAUCCACCUUCUCAAUGUAAUUAGUAGUGAAAACAAAGAUCCUUUCACUUCCACAGGCUGACCAAAGGCCAUCAAUGAAAUUUAAGAGCCCGGAUAAAGUGACUUUGCUCGUCUUUUUAUCCUUUCCUUCAUUCGUCACGGCCUUCUUGAACCUGUCCCUCGCAUUGCUGCUCUCGGCCUCUUUCUUCUCCUCGUUCCUCUGCCCUGUGAGAUCGAGAGAACAGUCAAUGUCCUCGAUCACAAUUAUCGAUUUGCCGGUUGUAUUUAUUAGUAACUUUCUCAAUUCCGUGUUGUUCUCGACUGAUGUCAGCUCGAGAUCAUACACAUCAUACUCCAACAAAUUAGCCAUUGCGGCAACCAUUGUAGAUUUUCCAGUUCCAGGAGGCCUGUGGAGAAGGUAUCCCCGCUUCCAGGCCCGGCCUACAUUUCCGUAAAAAUCCUUGGCCUUGCUGAAUGUGAGCAGAUCAUUGACGAUCUCCUCCUUCAAUCCCGGCUCCAAUGCAAGCGUCUCGAAUGUAGCUGGAUGCACAAACGCGACAUGAGUCCACACAGAUCCCGCAUACCCCUCCUCCUUGUUGUUCGUGAACAGCUUUCGAGUCCGGUUCCCCACCUCGAACGAACAAUAUGACAUCAGGAUGUGCUUGUCCAUUCGCCCUGUUCGAAUCAACGCCCGAUCAAGCAUCUUCCCCACCUUCUGCCCGAGCCCAGCACACACCAAACAACUGAAUUCACUGCUCUCACAAUUCUUCUCAUAAUAAUUUGUAAUCUUUACACUAUCCUCCGCAAAAACUUUGCACUCAUUCUUAUAAUUAGGGUUUAAAACAUGAUGAACUGGGUAAAUUGAAUGAGGAUUAGAAUUGAAAAUUGGGCGAUGGGGGAUGAAACUAGGGUUUAUAAUUGGGGGAUUUGAGUUUUGAAUAGGAUUCGGAAGAGGAGGGCUUUGAUGAUGGAGAGAAUGCAGGUGCCUCACUGUUAAACGAGGCAUCACAAAUUGAGAAGAUGAAAUAUUUUUCUACGGUAAGCUUGAGCUUUUCUGUUUGAUGUUUUCUCCGACUAUGCAUGCUUGUUUAUAUAGAUAGGGAGGGAGAUGAACCUGGACAAUUUUUAAAAAUUACAAUUAAUAUGAUAUCUUCAGAUAUUAUCAGAUUUUAUUCAAUGUAGAUUAUAUAUAGUAUCUUCCAGAUAUUAUCUGAUCAUAAUAUCUUCUAGAUAUUAUCCGAUCAUAUGAUCAAAAUAUAUAAUUCAUAAAUUUAUUUUUAAUUUAGAAAAUAUAAAUAAAAUCAAGCUAAAGUUUUUUAGGUACGGCGUCAAAAUUGUAAAAUUUUAAAAAGCGUUAUCAAAAUAUUAAAUUUAUAUUAUUUAUAAAUUAUUGACAUUUAGAGAGCAUUUAAAAUUUUAAGAAAUAUAAAAAGGGUGACAUAGUCAUUUAGUAUUUUAAAUCAGUUUCGAUAAUUUUUAUGAUAUUUAAUUAAGAUAUCAAAUUAUUUUCUAAAAAAAUGAUAUCAUAUUUUUUUGAAAAUAUUGUACGGAUUUGGGAGUAUAUGUAUUCAAUUUGAAUUCUUAAAAAUAUAUAAUUUUUAGAUCUCAAAAAUUAUUUUAAGAGUCUAUCACCCCACCAUCAUUUUAAAUUAUUAUUAAAAAUCCGAUAUCAAGUUAGAGAAACACACAUAAUAUAUAUAUAUAUAUAUAUAUAUAUAGGGUCUUGCUCAAAUGAGAACCACUCUUAUGGUGAGAUAUGAGAUCUAAUCUCAGCCACUCAUUUAAAUACAUUAUAUUCAUCUCCCACUAUUCAUUUAAUAUUUUAUUAUUUCAUCAUUUUUUAAUUCAACUACCCAAUCACUUUCAACCACUGCUGACCACCACCACCAUCUCCGGCAACCACCACCACCUCCGGCGACCACCAUAAAAUCACCACCAGAAAAUAUAAAAAUCACCAUCGGAAAACUAAAAAUCACCGCCAGAAAAUCAAAAAUCAACAACAGAAAAUUAAAAUCACCACACCACCACCAUCUACAAACAACCACCACCACCCCCUAAAUCCGAAAACCCACCAACUACAAAAUAAAAUCACUGCUGGAAAAAUAAAAUCAGUGCUGAAAAAAUGAAAAUCACCACCAAAAUUAGAAUCACUAAAAUACAAAUUACCAUCACCAAAAUUACCACCAGAUCAUAAAAAAACAAAAGUGAAAUCACUAAAACUUAAACCACCAUCGUUUACAAAUCCUGUUAUACACCAAUGGAGUUUUUCAGAUCUGAUUUUCAAUCGAGGAGAUAAAAAGAAAAUAAAACGAAGGAAAGUAUGUAUGUGUAUACGUGUGUGAGUUCGCCGGAAAAGAUGGAGGAGGGAGGCGGAAGAAAAGACGCAACGGCGCGAGAGAGAUGAGGAGGUGGUGAUCCACCGCCGCGGUGCUGGAAGUCGCGGGUGGGACGGAGUCGCGACGUACAGCGGAGAGAGAGAGAGAGAGAGAGAGAGAGAGAGAGAGAGAGAGAGGAAAAAAAUAAGUUAGGGGAAAAAGAAAGAGAGACUGGGUGGGCCUGAUGGCAAUGUUAGGUGGUGUUGGGAGUUGAAUGAAGGAAAUGAAUUGUAAAAUAAAGGUUUAAACGUGUGGUUGUGAUUUAAUUAGGGAAUAAAUAAGUGUGGCUGAGAUUAGAUCUCAUAUCUCACAUUAAUUGGGGUUCUCAUUUGAGCAAGACCCUAUAUAUAUAUAUAUAUAUAUAUCUCUUAACUAGAAAUAUAUAUAUAAAGAAUUUUAUAUAAAUCAUCUUUAAAAAUUUUGUGGUAUGUAAUUGUAAUUAUUUAAAUUUGACCCGUGUUAAAUCACUAAAUUUUGAACGGUCUUUUUUGUAUUACUAGACAAAUUUAAAAAAAUUUAUUUUUGUAUAUUAUAUUUUCAGGAAUUCUCUUCAAAUAAAAAGAGAUAAUAUAAAUUUUGUACUUUUGUCUACCGAACAUGAUGUGACUAUGUGUGACAUAUUUGAUGCGUACGUCAGACUGCACAAAUUUUAAUUUGGGCCUCUUCUAAAUUAAACGGACUAAUUUUAAUUUGGGCCUCCUCUGAAACGGACUACUUUCUUUUUUUUUGAAAAAUACCUGAUGUAUACAAAAUUUUGUAAAUAUAUAAUGACACAUGUGGUGAGUUUUAAUUGAAAUGAGACCUCUGUAUUUACAUAAAAAACCCAAUUAAACUUACGACAUCAAUUGCCAUGUCAUUAUAUGUACAAAUUUUUUUUGAUAAUUAGAAGAUUCAUUAAAAACCAUAGAUAUUCCCUUACAAGCAAGACACCAUAUCCACCUAGUACCCUGCAUAACCUAAACUUAACUAGCUAGAAUAGAACUGAUACUAAGAAAGAAGAUAUAGUUGUUAUGGAACCAUGCAGUCAGCGAGCAUGCUAGCAGCUUCAAACUUUUCCCACUCUGCAAGAACGUCAGCCACGUCCAGCGAACUAGGAAUUCUUCUUGUGAUUUGACCUGAUCACAAUAAACGCCUCCUGGUAAUCGGUUUCAAAGUGAAUCUUCUUGCAGUACUCCCUCUUGGAGCACUCUACUGUUGCCAUUUGAAUGCCCCAUAAUACAGCUAACAGCCUGGGUAUGAGUCAUUCUAUGAAACGAACUAAUUCUAUGUGUCCAAGAUAAGGCCCUGUCAGAUAAAUCCAGGCCAGGCCGCCUUAAAUUGUUAAACUACAAAGAAACUCGGUCCACUUGGACAUUUUCAAAUCAGGAUGGGAUCAUGGGACUGAUUAUGGUUCAAAUUAUUAUUUUUAAUUUGUUAACAAAAAUAAAAAUUAUAAUUAUAAUUUAUGAAAAUAAAAUUAAAAAAAUAAUGAUUAUAAUGAUACAAUGAAAGUGUUUAAAAUUAUUUACCAAUAAUCGAAUGAUUUAUAUUUCAAAAUAGGGAGAGUAUUUCAACAAUUUGCAUGAAAAGAAACCAAAUUAUUUAGAUAACAAUUAUCAAAAAAAUAAAUUAUAUAAAUAAAUUUACAUGUCACAUAUUAAUUAGAUUGAAACUUGUAUUUAUAACUUUUUGUUUAAAAAAGAAUGAUAUGUAUAAUUAUUUUAAAAUUUAUAUCAAUCCAAUUUAAAAUAUAUAUUUAACAUCAAAUAAUAUAUACUUCAUAAAAUUUACAUAGAGGAGCUAUGAUCCAAUAAAUAUGUAUGUUGAGUUUACUUUUUGCGAGCAAGCUUUUAACUUUUCAGUUAAAAAUUCAUAACAAUAUUGGGUAUGUUCGUGGGAAGUCAAGUUUAAUCUCUGAAUAAGUAUGCGGCCAGUACUGGCUUGCCGUUUGUCGUUCACAAAUAAGAAGGCGAACAUAUUUACUUAUAAGUUCUUCAUUUUACCUCUGCUAGGUGAGCAUAUGCAAUAGUAUAUUUUGGGAAGUGGAAUUAUAUACGGUAAUAUUAAAUUUGUAAAUUAACGUCUUUGAUGCAGUUGAAUUUCUUUAGACCCGACUUUACCAUCUAUGGUAACAAGCCUCCUCUGCUCUAAAGCCAUCAAGCGGAAGAGGGAGUCUACCAGUACAGGUGCUUUCAUUUUGCAUGCAAGCAAAUUCAGUUCCCAAGUCCCUGCAGAGAACUUCAAUGUCGGACAGAUCUCGUACAAGUAGAAAUCAGGAGCUCCUAGGAGGAUUAUAUGUUCGAUGAAUGCCCCAUAUUCAGAUGGGACGAUUUAUUAACAAAAACAUCAUAAUCUGCUGUUUAUGGACAUAUAUAUUUUUUAUAAAAAAACAAACAAACCUCCAUGUGAGCGAUACUGCAGCUUAUGUUCCUAUGGUCGGGUAACAGUUGCAUCGGUGAAUAGCUUUCAACUAGUUGGAACAUCAGAUUCAAGCCAGCCAGGAGAGGAAGGCGAAGAGGAACCUUUUCUCCCUGCUAUUUGAUUUUAAGCAUUUGCUAAUUGUCAAACCAAUUUACUCUGUAACUGUUGAUUGCUCAUACACACUUGUCGUGACACAGGUUAGUUUUAUCCUUCAGAGAGAAACUCAACACUUUCUGCUCGUCUCUUUUGCUCAAAUGUAUACAUUACAUUGUGAUAACUGCUUUGUGUGAAUGCAGAUUGUGACAUGAGUACGAAAUUAGUGCCCGCUGAUCUUAAAUGAAUUUCUGCACUGUACCCUAGUUUUUCUUAGAAUGGAAAUUUCGGCAAUGUCAAGAGGAAGAGCUGUGAUGGUUAUCAGCAAGAGAGGUUGCAAUAAACUACUCAGAGGAAAUGGUGAAUAAUUCUUGUCUAUAAAAUUGUAUAUACAAAAAGUACUGAGGUUUUACAUCAAAAAACUUAAAAAAUUAAAAACGGGAUAUCAGGACUCUUGGAACUUUCAAACUAUACUGGAUUACUAGAAAAGCCCCAUCAGGGGAACACAGCAAUUCUGCAGAUAACUACCACUCCAGUAGGACGAGUACCAGAGCCUCUCAUGUAAAGCUGACCCAAACAUAAAGGUUCGAGACUCGGGCUGAAAAUUCAUUUAGACUUGCAAACUUCAGAGACGAACUCAAAUUCCUCAUUAUAUAAAGAUGUUUAUUAAUCCAUUUUACUAACCUAACCGCCAAUUUAAAUCACCCUUAUAUCCUUUUUUAACUUUGUCAGUUUUAUUCAAAAUUAGAAGAAAAUAAAUAGAUGAUUCGUUAAAUAUGUUUUAUCCAAUACACAUCUUGUUCUGCUAGCUUAGAGAUCGCAUUUAAACAAUAAAAAUUACUGCAUAUGACUCGUGCAACAGAUUAUCAAACUGACUUAAGCACAAAUCAGACAACAUAUUAACUGGCCAGGUUAUACGCAAAUAACCUUUCAGCCUUGGUUGCAAGUUACGACUUGUGUUUCAGACAGAUCAAUAAACUGAGCAUCUUCUGGCGGAUAUCAAGCUUCGUGAUUUGAUAUUCUAGUGCACAUCAACUCAUCAAGCUUUGUCUAGCAUCUCCAUUAGCAAAUCUCUUAAUUCUUCUUAUCUGCAAGAUUCCUCCACCAGCCAUAACCCGAAAUUUAAUAUUAAGAUAUCAUACUUAUUGUAAUCAAAAUAUCUACUGCCUAUGUAAUUAAAAUAGGAAAAAAAACUACGAUAAAAGUUACAAGCAAAAGGUCAAAAGCUUAUGGCACUGGCAAACAAAUAUAAAGAACAAAAUUCAGACGGGUGCAUCAUCAAGAUUCUGUAUGUUCUCAACGUAAUGCAUCUACAAAUUAGUGUAUGUACAAGGUAUAACAUACUUAAAUCCACACAACACAAGCCACGGGGAGCUGAAUGGGAGAGAAACAAGUUCUUACUUUAAAAGGAAUCAAAGUGAUAAAUUACUUGUCCCGCAUUUAACAUUCUUGAAUCACAAAACCUACAUAUAAAUUGCCCCAUAUCUUAGAAACAUGACUAACCUCAACAAACCAUUGAUUCAGGACUCACAGCAUUCAUUCGCAGCUAAAACUUCACUAGCAGUCAACCUGCAUUUCCAAUCCUAUAUCAAACAAAGAUUUAGCAGAGAUACAUUUGUAUCCUGACAACACAAUUUCUUAAUUACUUUUAUAUCACAGAUUUACGGCAUAGGUUAAUAGAUGGCAGCUUUUGAAUAUCCCAACCAAGCACCUUGCAAAUGACUACCCAGCAGCAUGUUUUUUUGUUUUCCAGUUGUGUUAACCGUAAAAUGUUAAAUUUAACAGAAUGAGGUACUAUUCAAUACAAAGAUAAUGUUAGUGACUAAAAAAGGGCACGCUUAAGUUUACCACCGGUAAGCUUGGAAACAAGUAUAAUAGUUGAGUGAUAAAAAAUUGAUUUUCCUUACAAAUAUAAACUAUUUUUUAGAAAUUAAGCCUUGAUUUAUAGACUUUCUGGGUCUCUCAACAAGCCAUUGUUUCUGCGAGUAAACUCAAACAUAUUUUUGUUGUGUCCUGAACCUGAAACUAUGCAUGCUUGUUUGUAUAGGCGGUCUCUGGAUGAAUGAGGACACUUUUGUGGAAAAUUUACCAACGUAUCCGCUAUUUUCACAGAUUUUUUUUCCUGUCUCUGUUUUUAAAUACUUCACAUUCUAAGAGUUUUGACCGCAUACUUAAAAUUUUUUAUUUUAAUUUUUUUAAAUAAAAAUUUAUACUUUAAUACCAAAAAAAAUAAAAAUAUUAACUCUGGUUAUGUAUUCAAUGCACUUAAAAAUACUAUGUGCCCAAAGUCAAAGGUCAAGUAUUUAAAAACAUAGUGAGUAUAUUAGAGUUGAGAUUUGAAGACAUGUCUUAAUAUUAAUUUUAAAAUCAUCGAUCUACAUAUUAAUCCAGUUAAAUCCCCACAGUUUACUAUAUUUCUACUUUUUUAUAUUUUUUUGUCAAUUUUAUUUUAAAACUUUGUUAGUAAGACUUAAAUAAUAUAUCUCCUUUGUACGGUUAAUAGUAAAUUCAUUAAACUUUAAAAAUUAUAACUGCACUCAUUAUAAAACCAAGUUGAACAGAACUUACAUGAAUAUUGACUAGAUCUUCAAGCUUAUGUUUCCAUGUUACAACUUGUGUUUUUGACAAAUCACUAAAAUGUAACUAAACUACAAACUAUUACACAUGAUCAGCUAUUCUAAGACAUAUCAAGCUUCGUCUAGCAUCUUCGUUUCCUCUGCAGUGCCAUCAAUCUCUUCCUCUUCCACAUCUUCCGCAUCAUUUGGCCUUAUGUUCAUAUUUGCAAUGAUCAACCGACAUUUCUCGGCCAAUCUUCUCGGCUAUUUUUUUGUAGUUUUUCCAUAUAUCAGAUACUCUAAAAUAUUUUUAUUCUUAUUUAAUUUGGUCGGUUACUUUUCUGUAACUCUCCUGCCCAUUGUUAUAUAUAGCUUAUAGCCAGAAUUACUUUACAUCCAACACAACUCAGGAUUUCAGCCAUUUCAGUUUUCAAAACCACAAUCCAGAGAUUUUUCGGUGAGAAAUUCAGAGAAGAAACCAAGAUGACUACGGAAAUGUGGACGAGUUUUGGGUCUCUGCUCGCCAGCCUCAUGUUCAUAUUUGCCAUGAUCAACCAACACUUCUCGGGCAAUCUUCUCGGCUAUUUUCUGUAGCCGCUCAUCCAGAAAUCUUUGUCGUAUUUCAACCCGUACAUCGAGAUCACGUUCCAUGAGUAUUCCCGGGACAGCUUCGAUCGAAGCUUGGCUUACGUCUCGAUUGAGCGUUAUCUGGCUGUCAAGUCUUCGGCGACAGCCACGAGACUCAAGGCCAACUCGGUCCGAGACAGCGAACGCCUGGUGCUCAGUAUGGACGACUACGAAGAGAUCGUGGACGAAUAUCAAGGGAUCAACUUCCUCAUAGCCGCCGCCACCACCGCCCUUCUUCCCCUUCUUUUUCAUAUUUUUCGGUUUCGUCCCCUGAACACCAAGUGAGAGCCUAAUCAGCUUACUAUUCAAAUUACCAUGUCUCACACUCUCCGCGUUACUUUGUAAAUAUGGUUGCACAUUCGACACACGACCCGAAUAACCAGAACCAUUUGAAUCACAAUCCUCGAUGGAACCAUGAGACCUAUGAUCAUGGUUCAAGAUAGGAAUUGAUGGGUCAUUGUUCGGGUAAAGUGAACCGGGUCUGGGGUUGAAACCGGGUCUAUUGUUGAAACUAUUAGGGUUUGCAAUUGAACAAAUUGGGUGAACUGAAGGGGAGUUUGAAUUGAAAAUGGGGGGCUGGGGGAGACAAUUAGUGUUUAAAACAUGAUGAACUAGGUAAAUUGAAUGGGGAUUAGGAUUGAAAAUUGGGCGAUUGGGGAUGAAACUAGGGUUUAUAAUUUGGGGAUUUGGGUUUUGAGUAGGGUGUUGAAGAGGAGGGUCUUGACGAGGGAGAGAAUGGAGGUGCCUCAUGUCAUGAUUUAGAAGAUGAAGAUUAGUUGUUUUCUU